AUUGAACGCUGGCGGCAGGCCUAACACAUGCCAGUCGAGCGGAUGAAGGGAGCUUGCUCCUGGAUUCAGCGGCGGACGGGUGAGUAAUGCCUAGGAAUCUGCCUGGUAGUGGGGGAUAACGUCCGGAAACGGGCGCUAAUACCGCAUACGUCCUGAGGGAGAAAGUGGGGGAUCUGCGGACCUCACGCUAUCAGAUGAGCCUAGGUCGGAUUAGCUAGUUGGUGGGGUAAAGGCCUACCAAGGCGACGAUCCGUAACUGGUCUGAGAGGAUGAUCAGUCACACUGGAACUGAGACACGGUCCAGACUCCUACGGGAGGCAGCAGUGGGGAAUAUUGGACAAUGGGCGAAAGCCUGAUCCAGCCAUGCCGCGUGUGUGAAGAAGGUCUUCGGAUUGUAAAGCACUUUAAGUUGGGAGGAAGGGCAGUAAGUUAAUACCUUGCUGUUUUGACGUUACCAACAGAAUAAGCACCGGCUAACUUCGUG
Molecule: ribosomal RNA, 484 nt
Filed under: uncultured bacterium
Lineage: Bacteria
Description: partial 16S ribosomal RNA
Rfam family: Bacterial small subunit ribosomal RNA
Source: RNAcentral